Non-coding RNA from Manis javanica (Malayan pangolin), 530 nucleotides. The record is from RefSeq and is a predicted model, not a curated record. NCBI's taxonomy places the organism in Eukaryota, Metazoa, Chordata, Mammalia, Pholidota, Manidae.
CAGUGCUGGUGGUUCUGCUUUGGAGAAUAGAGAAAAGGAAACUCCCUUGGGAGUGCUGUUUCUUGGAAAACCGUUCCUCACCUGAGCCCUGUGUUCAGAUGGAGGCCUGACUGUGUACCCAGUGUGCUGUGACCCCAACUGGAGUGUCCACGCAAACAGCCAUCCCCUGGUGAUCGGAGUAGGAAGGGUUAUCUAGAAUUGCUUUAGGGUCAAGCAAAAAUGAUCGGAGAUCUUCACCUCUACAUAUGACCCACUGUCAAGCUCUGUGGGUUCAUGCUCUCUGCUUUCUCUCAGUCAAUUUGACAACUCAGCGAAUGUCUCACAAUCAGCGGCUUCUCACAGACACUGCCACCAUCCAGAACAAGGAUGCUGCCUUCUGCCUGCGCGUUAGCCUCCCAGUACCACCCGGCCCCUAUGGCUGUUUCCCCAGGGCAGGACCAAGGCUGAGCUGACAAGGGUGCCCCACCGCCCCAUCCUGGCUCGGAGCCCGCCCUCUCCUCCCACCACGACUUCCUAUAAUACUGGAAAUA